RNAcentral lists this ribosomal RNA (755 nucleotides) under uncultured bacterium. RNAcentral's name for it is "bacterial SSU rRNA". It matches the Rfam family "Bacterial small subunit ribosomal RNA", at positions 34 to 776 of the family's 1533-position model. The record is from RNAcentral.
CGCUAGCUACAGGCUUAACACAUGCAAGUCGAGGGGCAGCAUGAAAGGAACUUCGGUUCUUUUUGAUGGCGACCGGCGCACGGGUGCGUAACGCGUAUCGAACCUGCCUCAUACUCGGGGAUAGCCUUGCGAAAGUAAGAUUAAUACCCGGCGGUCUCGGAUGGCCGCAUGACUGUCCGAGUGAGGAUUUAUCGGUAUGAGAUGGCGAUGCGUCCCAUUAGCUUGUUGGUGAGGUAAUGGCUCACCAAGGCAUCGAUGGGUAGGGGUUCUGAGAGGAAGGUCCCCCACAUUGGAACUGAGACACGGUCCAAACUCCUACGGGAGGCAGCAGUGAGGAAUAUUGGUCAAUGGACGAAAGUCUGAACCAGCCAAGUAGCGUGCAGGAAGACGGCCCUCUGGGUUGUAAACUGCUUUUAGUUGGGAAUAAAAAGAGGGACGUGUCCCUUAUUGUAUGUACCAUCAGAAAAAGGACCGGCUAAUUCCGUGCCAGCAGCCGCGGUAAUACGGAAGGUCCAGGCGUUAUCCGGAUUUAUUGGGUUUAAAGGGAGCGCAGGCGGCGGCGUAAGUCAGUUGUGAAAUCGUGCGGCUUAACCGUGCAAUUGCAGUUGAUACUGCGUCGCUUGAGUGCACACAGGGAUGUUGGAAUUCAUGGUGUAGCGGUGAAAUGCUUAGAUAUCAUGAAGAACUCCGAUCGCGAAGGCAUAUGUCCGGAGUGCAACUGACGCUGAGGCUCGAAAGUGUGNGUAUCAAACAGG